GACGAACGCUGGCGGCGUGCCUAAUACAUGCAAGUAGAACGCACAGUUUAUACCGUAGCUUGCUACACCAUAGACUGUGAGUUGCGAACGGGUGAGUAACGCGUAGGUAACCUGCCUGGUAGCGGGGGAUAACUAUUGGAAACGAUAGCUAAUACCGCAUAAUAUUAAUUAUUGCAUGAUAAUUAAUUGAAAGGUGCAAUUGCACCACUACCAGAUGGACCUGCGUUGUAUUAGCUAGUAGGUGAGGUAACGGCUCACCUAGGCGACGAUACAUAGCCGACCUGAGAGGGUGAUCGGCCACACUGGGACUGGGACACGGCCCAGACUCCUACGGGAGGCAGCAGUAGGGAAUCUUCGGCAAUGGACGAAAGUCUGACCGAGCAACGCCGCGUGAGUGAAGAAGGUUUUCGGAUCGGAAAGCUCUGUUGUAAGAGAAGAACGGGUGUGAGAGUGGAAAGUUCACACUGUGACGGUAUCUUACCAGAAAGGGACGGCUAACUACGUG
RNAcentral lists this ribosomal RNA (505 nucleotides) under uncultured bacterium. Its description in RNAcentral is "partial 16S ribosomal RNA". It matches the Rfam family "Bacterial small subunit ribosomal RNA", at positions 28 to 507 of the family's 1533-position model. The record is from RNAcentral.